RNA transcript from Acinonyx jubatus (cheetah), 7183 nucleotides. It is a transcript of the gene named collagen alpha-1(I) chain-like, with no coding region annotated. The record is from RefSeq and is a predicted model, not a curated record. NCBI's taxonomy places the organism in Eukaryota, Metazoa, Chordata, Mammalia, Carnivora, Felidae. The transcript has 7 exons.
UAAACAUUAAAGGGGCGCCUGGGUGGCUCAGUCGGUUGAGCGACCGACUUCGGCUCAGGUCACGAUCUCACAGUUUGUGAGUUUGAGCCCCGCGUCGGGCUCUGUGCUGACAGCUCAGAGCCUGGAGCCUGCUUCGGAUUCUGUGUCCCCCUCUCUCUCUGCCCCUCCCCCACUCAUGCUCUGUCUCUCUCUGUCUCAGAAAUAAACAUUUAAAAAAAUUUUUUUUUUAAUUUUGUGCACCCAAAGACACUAUCCACAGAGUAAAAGUCCGUGCACAUGAUGGGUGAACAUAUAUGCAAACGAUACAUCUGACAAAGGAUUAAAAUCCAGAAAAUACAGAGAACUUCUUGAAGUCAACAACAAAAAAGUCCUAGCGAUCCAAUUAAAAACAAGGGGGCAAAGGAAUAAACAUUUCUCCAAAGAUGACAUACAGGUAGCCAACAAACACACGAAAAGAUGCUCCACAUCGCCAGUUGGCAGGAAAACGAAGUUAAAACCACCGUGGGAUACUGGUUCAUAUCCACCAGGACGGCUAGGAUUUAGUGACAGUAGCAAGCAAGGUGAUGUGGAAAAAUCGGCACCCCCACACCUCGUACGUUACUGGGAACGUAAAUUUGCUCAGUCGCCGUGGAAAACAGUAUGGCAGUCCCGGAGAAAAUUGAAAUUAGAGCUGCCACACGAUCCAACAAUCUGACCUCUGAGUGUAGCCCAAAGGAGGUGAAAGCAGGGUCCUGAGGAGACACCCACGUCCCAGCCACAUUCUCCACAGCAGCUAAAACGUGGAAGCCACCCACGCGGCCACGGAUAAACAAAAUCUGAUACGUACACACAGCGGAAUGGUGCUCAGUCAUAGAAGAAGGGAGACGCUGACACCUGCGACAUCAUGGCUGAAACUGCAGGACGGACACUCGGUGAAUAGGCCAGUCGCGAGAAGGCAAGUACUGUGGGAUUCUACCCGUGUGAGUUACCUGGUGUCGCGGAAGCCGUAGAGACAGAGGGUAGACGGCGGUUGCCUGGGGCGGGGGGCAGGGCCAGUGGAGAGCUACUGCCUCCUGGGUAUAGGGUCUCUCGGUUCCUACAAGGUUAAAAGGAUCGUGGGGAUGGAUGGUGGGGAUGAGGGACGGGCGAGUGUAUUUCAUACCACCCAACUGUGUACUCAAAAAUGGUUAAGAUGGUAAAUUUCAUGUUAUGUAUAUUUCAUCCCAGCUUAAAAAAUUUUUUAGGUGGGAGGCAAAAUUGUCACGCUUCUAGAAAAUAAUCCAGGAGACCAUAUUUCUGAUCCCAAGGCGGGGAAAGUUGCGUGAAAUAGGGCCAAGAAGCACCAGCCUGAAAAAAGAUACUGGCGACUUUGACGCAUUAAAAUUGUGAACUCGUGCGUCCCGUGUGUGGGUUUCUGAGAGGCGACGGUGUGGUGUGGUUUCUCUGCCUGUUGGUUAGGUCCCACAUGGGGCCUGGUGAGAUGCCAGCCUUCCGGGUCCCGGCUUGUUGAAAAUGCCGUGUUUUCAUUAUCGCUUUUAAAUGAGAGUUUACUCGCGUGUGGAGUCCAGCGUUCAAAGGCAGUUUCCGUCGUGCUGUUCCCGGUGCUGGUCCCGGUCUCCCUGGGGGGCGAGCACGCGGUCUUGUCCUUCCGGCAGCUCUGAGCUUUUCUCUUUGCCUCGGGACCCUCAGACCUCACCACCUGGCCUGUCCUUUCCCGUUCCCGGCACUCCCUGAGUGCCUUCACUUCGGAAAGGUCAUCGUCAUCACAUGUCUGUCCAAGUACUGCCCUGUGGCCAUGGCCCCCUCUCACCACGGUGCGUCCCCCAAAACCUUUUGUCCAGGACGUCUGUCGGUUUCACUUUCUUGUUUUCAGCUCUUCUAUUUUAAAAUGUCUUUCUAUCUCUGUCGUGGUUUUUCUGUCUGUGGGGGAAGACGUGCCCACUUUUCCAUCUGGAAACCAGAAAUCCCUUUUCAAAAAUAUUUAAAGUUUAAGCAACAGUGUUUUGUCUUUAUGCGCCGUGUUGGUUUUUAUAGCUACCUCCUCCAGGGCCACGGUGGAGCCCUGUGGCUGACGGUGUGGACUCUGGAGUCAGAUCUCCUGGACGGAGCCUGGCUUUCACCCUUACUGAAGCGAGUGUUUCCAUUGCUGCGUGCCUCAGUGUCCCCACCUGUAAAGCGGGAGAAAUAAUGGCUCACGCUCAUCGGGUGCCACCCCGCAGGAGCUGCACUUCAUGGACACGAGCUCUUGUCCACGGCAAGAGAUGCUCAUGUUCCCGGUCCCUUAGGAACAUGUUUAAAUUAGGUGGCAGUACCCCCUGAAACCAGCUCUGCCCACUUGGGGGUCUUUCUCGUCCUUCUGGCCCAGAUGGCGAUCAAACAGGCACCGAGCCCGUCAGUCGUGUUGUAGAUGACGUCCUCGAAAUGGCGGCCUCGUUGUGCAGACAAGGACAGUCCUCCUCCGCCACGCAGCCUCCGCUCCCGUCCGACACCAGCCCCGGGGGGCAGACGCAGCCGGACACGCAGUGAGUGCUGAACUGUGGACCGGCACAAGUCAGUGCCGGUCACCCGCUGUGCCCGGGGACGCCCUCGGGCAGCGCCCUCGCCGUGCCCUCCCGGCCACUCACACAGUCCACGUCCAGCGUGUGGCAGCUCCUGAGACACUCGGCCCCGGGCGCGCCGGCGGAGACGUUGCGGCAGUCCAGGUACACCAUGGGGGCCGCGCACCCUGCGGAGGAGGCGGGGCUGGGCUGGGAGGGGCCCCUCCCCCCACCCGGGGCCCGCGGAAGCCCCUCCCUCGGGGUGCUGCCCAGAGGCCGUACCUGAGCUCCUGUGCUCCGCUGCUCCCAGGCAACUCAGCUUCCCACCCACGCACGAGCUGUGAGAGACAGACGACCCUCUCUGGACCCCCUGCCCACCCACCACCCCACAGACCUCACCCAGAUCUCUGCCCGGCUGGGGGCACCCCUCCCCCGGCGCAGAGAGAAAACCGUCCUGUGCAAUGCACACGCCCUCCCUGGGCCCUGGACCCUCAGAACCCUCUGGAGGCCAAGGGAGGGCUACCUCUUCACAGCAGGAGAAAGGGAUGUGGGGGGAGGGGCAAACUUCCCUCCCCAGGGAGCACCUUUGUGUUUCAAAAUCCUCUGGGAGACACCCAGACAUCUUUGCGUGUGAAACAGGGUGACGAGACCCUCGCUCUCCUGGGAUGGGGCACAGUGAUGGGGGGGGGGGGGGCAUGGGCCCAGCUGGCCCCUUACCACACCACGCUGUCGUCAUGCACCACCUCCCCCGGGGCCACUGCAGAGCCACGGAAGUAGCAGGGACAGGCCUCAGCGGACACACAGGCACCCGAGUCAUCCAGGAAGGUGCCCGAGGGGCAGAUGCAGCCGUCCACAGGCACGAAGGUGACGCCGCAGGUGACGUCGACCUGGCUCAGAGCGCGGCAGGUGGGCUGGCAGCUGGCCACCACAUAGCUGUAGUUCUGGGACUUGGGGCAGCUGCUCACAUACUUGGCUGGGGGCAGGGGCAGCGCUCAAGUCAGUGGUUGGAUGGCCCCCUCCAAACCGGUGUUUAAGCAGCCCAAGACUCAGUUUCCCCUCUGACACCCAGGGAUGGUGGGACCACAAGGUCCUUGGUUGGCCCGACCGAGGAAGCCAGAAGCUCUGGCUGAGAACAUGUGGGUGGGGGGUGGCUGCCCCCAGGAUCCCCAGCCCCCCUGCCCCCACCCGGUGCAGCCAGAGUGGCUCAGGGACACUCACCGCACACGCCGUCCCUCCAGCCUCUGAGCAGCACCCCCUUGGCGGCACAGGCGUGCACGUAGGAGGACAGGGCCGCACACAGACAGUCCUCGCUCUUCUGACAGUUACAUGUGUCGAACAUGCAGUGCUGGGGAUGGGGCCAUUGGGGACCGUCAGGAACCCCAGCCCACCAAGGCCCCUCCUCUUCCCGUGGAUUCUUCCUGGGACCCCUGCCUGGACUGGGAGGUCCACCCCAAGGAGGCCCCUUGGCACAGAUGGGCGGAAAGCGGCCCCCAGGAGGGGCACACCGCACGCUAAGCGACUGCAGAGGCCCGGUCAGGGGGCAGCAAGAAGGCGUGAGACCAGGCUAUGGUCAGGGUCAGGAGGGAGCGCCACAGGACAGGGCCAGGGUCGGCCGCAUCCCACGUACGUCACGGGUUGUGCUGCGUGUGGGGGACACAGGUGGGGUGAAGAGGGUGCCAUCUGCCCAGGCAGAGGUGGGCCUGGGCUUUCCACCUGGAGAUGCUCCUGAUGGUGCAUUUUAGGGCUUUGAGCUUCUGGGAAAGUGGCCCAUGAGUCAAGUGUUGUGAAGGAUACGUGGAAACCCUAACCCACGGGGCCUGAGAAAAUGAGCUUAUUGCAAACAGGGUCUUUGCAGAUGUUAUUAAGACGAGGUCAUGGGGAUGGUCCCCGAUCCAGCAUGACUGGUGUCCUUAAAGAGGAAAUUUGGACACAGACACAGGGGAGGGGCCAAGGCCGUGUGACCAGGGAGGCAGAGGUUGGGGUGACAUGGCCACAAGCCCAGGGACACCUGGAGCCCCGAGAAGCUGGGAGAGGCAGGAAGGACCUUCUCUGUAGCCUUAGGAGGGAGCAUGGCCCUGCCCACAGCUUGAUUUGGGGCUUCUGGCUUCUAGGACCGGAACAGAAUCAAUAUUUCUAGUUUUUGGUGAGCUGGUCCGUGGCCACAAACACCCCGACAGUGAUGGUGCUAAAAGCCCCGGGCAGCCCCGGGUAGGACUGACCAACCAGCCCGCCGUGCUGUGAGUGGUCCUUGAGAUAGGGGACCACCAAGGGGAGGCUAAGGGGUAGGGGGGGGCUCCAGGUGGAGCAGGGGUCUCACCGAGUGGAAGGGUGCAGGGUUGAGGACAGAGUGACAGGGCGAGAAGGCUCCGGCAGGGUCGGUCAGCAGGGAGCACCAGUGCUGGGCGUAGUUCUCUGGGACAAGGGUGCGGGGGGAGGCUGGCUGGCCGGCACCCACACACCUCCUCCCCCUCGCCCGCCCCCUCAGGCUGCCUGCGCUCCUGCACACAGGCCCUGGGGGGCCCCACGGUCCCCAGAGAGCUCAGCUGGGAUUUGGGGCUUGCCCACCAUGCUGAGGGGGCAGGAAGGUGCUCCUCCUCGAGACAGGCUCUGAGCACUCUGGCCUGCCCGAUUUCACCCCAGGCCAUGCACACCCGGACACCAGGGGUCACCCAGGGCCUGGUGAGAUGGGAGGUCUUGGCUCCCAGCCCAGCCCUCGUAAACGGAGGGCCCCCGGGGGGUGGGAGUACCGUUCUCCACGCUGAGGGAGCAGGGGUCCUCGAAGCUGUUCUUGACGUUGGGGCAGGCGGCCUGGGUCUUCCAGGUAUUGGCGAAGGCGGCGGCCGUGCCCUCCACCACGCCGCUGAGGGUCCGGAAGUCAUCGGCCUGGUUCUGGUUGAAGUUCCCGCACAGGCCUGGGGGCCGGGGCCCAGGGAUGGGGCAUUAGCAGGGCGUCCAGCCUAGCCAUCCGGGGGACCUUGCUCCCUGGCUCCUGCUCUCCUCUAGAAACCACCACACGGCGGACCAGCCCCGAACCCCCAUCCCAGGAGUGGUUCCAGAGCCAUCCGUAGACUCUUCCCGUCCUGCCCGCGGCCUGGAGCUGAGUCCGGGCACCAGCCCCCUCCCGGCCCGUCGGCGGAGCCUCACCGCACAUCUGUCCGUGAUAGGAGGGGUCCAGCCUGAGGAACACCUGCAUGAGGGGCACCAGUUGAACCUGCAGCUGCAGCCCGAGGCCCGUGUGCACCAGGACGAAGAAGGACGUAGGCCUGAAGAUGGUGAUGUUGGCUGCCGGGGGUGGGGACCGAGUCAGAGUCUGCGUGGGGGCCAGGCCUGGCCAGACGGAGCCCCCUUGCUCCUGGGACAGCCAGGAAGCAGGGAGGGUCCCCUAGGGAUGGCCUGGGAGGAUCCAGGCAUCUGGUGGGCCCGUGCCACCGCUCCGGGACCCAGGGGUGGGCGGAGCUCCUCUGCAGGUGGUAUUGGCAGUGACCACUCGUGAUCCCCGAGAGGCUGCGCCCCAAGUGUGUUCGGCCCCGGUCCCCCCGGUAGCCGAGGGGGGAGCAUUGACAUCCCACGUGCAGAUGAGAGACCAACCAUGGGAUAUUCCGGAACUGCCCCGGGCCACAGAGAACCAGCCUUGGGAGCAGACCACCUGGCUGCAGUGCAGCCGGCUGUCCCAGACCGCGUACCUGCUGACACGGGCAGCCGCGUGUGCACGGAGUUCAUGAAUACCCCACCGCUGGCCUGGAUCUGGAUGAUCUGGAAGGUUAGCACCAGCCGGACAUCAACCUUGAUGUAGACACUGCUCUCCUCUACCAGGACGCCAGCGCGGCUGUAGGGCAGCUCCUCCCUGGGGUGGAAAUUUCUGGUCCUCCCAGGGCCAGGGUGCGCAGCAGGGUGCGGUGCCCCCCAGCAGCCCUGAGCCCAGAACCCGCCCCAGAGGCCCGGCCCUUCCCCAGCCCGGACCAGGCUCACCGCUGCCCGUUGAUGAGGAUCGAGCUGUUGGAGGCCUCCAGCACCAGCCCUUGGGUCUUGAGGAUGAUGUGGGUGAUGGUAGGCCUGGAGCCGGCCAGGCCGCGGCGGACCUGGAUGUUGAAGUCCUCGUAGGCGGCCCCGCAGUGCAUGGAGAGGACGUAGUUGCACAGGCCCGGGAAGCGGAAGACGUCCCCGUCGAAGGUCUUAUAGUGGAAGUCGCCCCAGGGGGAGGAAGCUGCACACGGACCCGGAUUUGGGGGUGCCGUCCGACAUAACCAGCCUGCACCCCUCGAAAAGGCCAUGGUCAGGGAACACAGAGAAAGGCUGAGGACCUGUGGUCCUGGAUCGAAUCCUGGAGAAUGUGCGGCCAUGACGACCAUGACCGGCUCAAGACCACAGAGGGCCCUGGUUUAGAGGGUGUGGCGUGCCCCUGCUGGCUCUGCUGAGGGCGACCCCUGGCCUGUCUCUAGGAGACACCCACCCACCUAUGGAGGGAUGGAGGCCAUGCUUCUCAAACCCAUGUGGCUUAGAAAACACACGUGGAUACAGACGGUGGGCAAGUGCACACACACACGAGAGGAAACAGCAAAGCCAAGAGACUGAGGUGCAGACAUCCGUGAAUCUGGAUAAAGGCAGACAGGAGCUCUUUCUGCUAUCUGUACCCAUAAACUUGAAACCACAUCAAAAUAAAAUGUUCU